CAAACCUGGGGCAACGUUCAGGCUGCUUGUGUGCCACUGCCUGUCACAACUCCUCUCCAUCAAGAGAAAUCGAGUCGGAGCAGUCUGAAUCAUUCCCGUUUGAACGCAGCAGUCAGAACUAAAGCAGGCUCACAGGGUAGGGGGUGUGGGCACACCUUCAGGUGUGACGGUAAGGGGAGGGCCCUCUGAUAAUCCUUGAGCCUGGAUUUUGCCACAGGCUGCUUUAGGAGAGGAUUGGGCUGAUUUUUCUUGGCUUCUCAUCUAAUUUAUCUUCUUUGAAGGCCCAUUUCCCCCACAAGCAAUAAGACAGCCGCGUUUUUGUUGUUUUUUUUUGUGUGUGUUUUGUUUUGUUUUGUUUUGUCGCACGUUGUCAGUUCCUAAAUUCUGGGAAACUUUGUCCCUAUUCAGAAAAUGAAGGUGCGUGUCGUGCAGGACAAGGGCUCUGCUGAUGCCACGUGAAUCAUUUCCUCGGCCAGAGGCAGCAGCAGGGACAGACGGACGGGUGUUUUGGCCGGUGUCGCCCCACGUGUUGCUGAAGUUUUUCCUCGCAGGGCCAUGUGAGUGGGCUGGGGUCCCCAGCUAGCGCAGGUGGGAAGGAGCUCGGGGCUGCUGAGUCUUGAACUGUCAGAAGCACUGCGUGUGGCUGCUCAGGGGGGCGUCACUGCUGAAAUAAAUAAAUUAAUGAGGAGUUAUGGAAACAGCUCUGUCCUCACCAGGCGAGCUUUAGAGGCCAGCACGCUGCUCUGCCCGUACCCGUAAAGCCGUCCCGUUGUGCAGGGCACCUUAAUGCUGCUGCUGUCCCUUCUCUGUAGGAUGGGAAUCAAGGUAUUUCUUUCCUCUCACUCUUUUAUCUUCACCCAAAGAGAUGUGGAUUUCAGAUUCACCCUGGGGAAAGGGCUGCAUCCCCCCAGUCUGCCCAUCUCCGUAUCCAUCGCUCUAGCACAGGGCUGUGGGGGAAGGCAGACCCCAGCAGUGAAGCUCCCGGCCGUAUUGUUUAGUGCCUUGUUGUUGCCUCCAGGAUUGCUCUGUAAGAAAGUUAAGUUCCCUUUUAGGGCCAUCUCUGUUUCUGCCCUUUGUUUCUCUUCCUUCCUUAUUUUCCUGCCUCCAGACGUAGCGACACGCAUGAUUUAUACCAGUGCAAGCCCUGCGGUGUUGACCUGAAAGGAUCUGCAGCUGCUCUCGUUAGCCUGACUGGCAAAUUACUGGGAGAUUUGGACUCCCCAGAGCCCGGAGACAUUUUGCACUAGGGCGAGUUGCUCUGCCCUGCUGGCUGCCCAGUUCCUCUUGUGGUCUGCGUGGUCUCAUCCUCGUGCGAGUCGCGCUGGCGGGCAGCCAGGUUCCACUUCUUGGUGCCCGUGAGCUCCAGAAACUGCAGCUGGUGUGUUUCUCUAGAUAGCUUGAUACCUGCUUUCACCUGGUCCUGGUCUCUAUCCUCGGAGAAGUCCCGGUGUCUCAGCACAGCUGCUCCAAGUGCUGUUAACUCCUAAAGCUCCUCGCAGAGCGGUGUUCGUUGCGUAAGGGCUCGGACGGUGCCACGAGACGCUGCUUGGUCCUUCCCCCUUCCCCAAACUGCCGCUCCCAGCAGGGCUGAACAGCACACAAAAGUUCAAACACACUCGCUGGCUUCUUUACCUUGAUGGCAGCAGGUAAAUCAUGCAAAACCAAGCCCUUCCAUCAGACUGCCAGCAGGGCAGGGUUGGCACACGCUUCUCCCAGUCACUCCUGUGACUCUCCCUUAGGACACGAUGCCUGAGGGUGGCUCAGGGCAUCCUGAAUUGCUCUCAGCCUCCUUUUGACUACCAGUAGCUGUACCGUGUUCUUCCAGAUGCCAAAAAGAAGACAUUUUAAUAAUAAAAUGUCCACGUUAGGUGAAGCCAGAAGUCUGCUUAGCUCGGCGUGCUACAUCCUGCAUAACACCCGGUGGUUAUCCAACACGGGUGGGGUGUAAAUCACAAAACAACUCUCAGCAUGAAACCUGCGACACAAAGUCACCCCCGGACGAGAUCAGUAAUCUCAGGAGCCAUGUUCCUCUUUAUUUUUUGAAGUUUCCAAACUGAAGCUGAGGACGAGGGAGAGCAUUUCCAUCCCCGAGCACCCAGGAGCCUGGUGGUCAACGGAUUGUCCUGCAGCACAGUGUGACUGCUGAGGCUGCACAGGAUAACUGAGUUCAGCUUUGUCGAGCGUUUUUAGUCCAGCAGCAAGGAAGAGUCGCUUGGGGGGAGCAUCUUUUUUAGAUGAGCCCCACAAAAACCUCUCUGACACCCUCUGCAAAUGAAGUCAGUCAAGGUAGCAGCACAGGGGAGAGGACGCGCAGGGUCGGAGCCACGUCGGAGGGCACGCAGCCCUGCGGAUGCUAAUCCACACCUCGGAGCCACCCUGCACAGAAGUGCACAUUACCAUCAGGGCUCAUUCAAACGCCCCUGCGGCUCUCCAUCAGUCCCCAUUGUUUCCUAAUCCCGCCGUAGCCGAUGCUGGUUUUAUCCCAAAUAAUUUGCCGUGCUCGCUGCCCUCCCCGCUGACUGAGCCGGAGCACGUUAGCGAUGCGUGACUGCAUCUGGCUCUCUGCUCUCAGGUUAGCGACACGACAGAAGCCUUAAUUGCACUCAGCUUCUUUGCAAAAGCUCGUUUUGGGGGCAAGCACGGGGAUAUCUGUGCAUCUGAGAACUCGCCAGCAGGGGAAAUAACCAUUUGCUCCCUCCUAGCACGGCAAAGCCCUCCUGAGCAGCUCUGCACGGAUAAAUUUCCAUCAGAUGGAUGGAAACCUUGCAGGAGCAGGACCAGCACCAGCCGGGCAGCCAAGGGCAAUCCCAUGGAUGUGGGCAGCAGAGGGGAUGCUCGGCCCCGUCAGCUUUUCCUGCUGAGAGCACAGCCACAGCUGGCCGGAGGAUGGGGUGGACACAGGGGCUUCAGCACAGUCACCUCCUGUCCCAAAAGCAUCAUCCAGCUUCGGAGCCAGCUGUUGAGUUUGUGUGAAAGGUGCCUCCUCUCUUCACCCCAGUUUCUGGUGCCCAGGAUGGGACAUGUGGGAUGACCCGACCUGAUCCUAAAGGGCUCCCCGCACCUUCCCGAGGGGGACGUGCUGAAGCCACGAGGAAGGACAGAAAGGGAAGGACAGCUCUGGGUGGGAAAUCCGGAGCCCUGCACACCCCGAUGAUGCUCCUGGUACCUGAAAAAAUAACGAUGAAGCUGUGGCAGUGCUGUAGCUGACCUGACUCAGCACAUCAGCCCCAGGUAUCCAUGUUUCUGUGAUUUUUUUUCACCCAGAAGAGGCACAAAACCAGUAUCUUUCCCCCAUCUUCUUUCCCAGACCCACCGGUCUUUGCUGAGCACCAGAAACCACCAUUGUGCUCCAGUUUGCUCCCUGUAAGCUUGCCUAAACUCCGAUGCCAUCAGCAGUUUGCUGUGUCAGUCCCCAGGAGACAUCCAGGACACCAAAACAGCCGUGGUGUUGGGAAACCACUUGGCACACAGCUCAGCACCUGGUGCUGCGUGCUGCUCCUUUCACCUUUUCCUCCUGCGUUGCACCGAGAGCCACGAACGACUUUAAGCGGGUGACUAGCAUCCCUCAGCACUUCUCAAGGACGCCGUCACCUCCUUAAAAUAAUGAAUCCCUGAU
Anas platyrhynchos (mallard) is the source of this 3616-nucleotide long non-coding RNA. RefSeq lists it as uncharacterized. NCBI's taxonomy places the organism in Eukaryota, Metazoa, Chordata, Aves, Anseriformes, Anatidae. The record is from RefSeq and is a predicted model, not a curated record.